UUGAACUGAGGGAUAGAAAAUUUUCAAAUGAAAUUUUCAUUUUCUUGGUUUGGCAACUCUGGCGAUAAAUCAGAACCACUCUAGCAACCAAACGAGCUGUCAACAUCUUGUUUCGAGAAAAUACUCCCGGCGUUUUCGGAAACAGUCAAGUGCUCCUCAAGCCCUAAAUAAAUUGCUUCAACAAACUGAAUGGAACCACAGGAUCGUCGUAGAUACCUCGGAAAAGAUCAUCAAGCACUUAACCUCGCACCUAACUCGCAUCUAAUCGGUCAUCCGGCUAUCUACAUUCAACGAUAUAAAUUCCUGCUUUCUUUACGUUGAAGCUGUUAUAAGAUUCCGUCCAACAGAGAAUACAAGUUUCGUGACGAAUUCCCGUCGGUACGCCGAAAAACAAAUCCCACCGGAUGUUGACAGCCGACACCUCGAAACGCUUCCUUGAUGAGGCACAGAUUUAAAGAAAAGUAACAGAAAAGAAUGUUGCUUGAUUUUUUAUUUGAUUAAAAAGGAUAAUAAAAUAAAAACGCAAAA
Molecule: long non-coding RNA, 528 nt
Organism: Armigeres subalbatus
Lineage: Eukaryota; Metazoa; Arthropoda; Insecta; Diptera; Culicidae
Exons: 3
Source: RefSeq, a predicted model, not a curated record